This 468-nucleotide ribosomal RNA is filed under the name uncultured bacterium. RNAcentral's name for it is "partial 16S ribosomal RNA". It matches the Rfam family "Bacterial small subunit ribosomal RNA", at positions 28 to 507 of the family's 1533-position model. The record is from RNAcentral.
GACGAACGCUGGCGGCGUGCUUAACACAUGCAAGUCGAACGGAAAGGCCCUGCUUUUGUGGGGUGCUCGAGUGGCGAACGGGUGAGUAACACGUGAGUAACCUGCCCUUGACUUUGGGAUAACUUCAGGAAACUGGGGUUAAUACCGGAUAGGAGCUCCUGCUGCAUGGUGGGGGUUGGAAAGUUUCGGCGGUUGGGGAUGGACUCGCGGCUUAUCAGCUUGUUGGUGGGGUAGUGGCUUACCAAGGCUUUGACGGGUAGCCGGCCUGAGAGGGUGACCGGCCACAUUGGGACGGAGAUACGGCCCAGACUCCUAAGGGAGGCAGCAGUGGGGAAUAUUGCACAAUGGGCGGAAGCCUGAUGCAGCAACGCCGCGUGCGGGAUGACGGCCUUCGGGUUGUAAACCGCUUUCGCCUGUGACGAAGCGUGAGUGACGGUAAUGGGUAAAGAAGCACCGGCUAACUACGUG